GACGAACGCUGGCGGCGUGCCUAAUACAUGCCAGUCGAACGCUGAAGCAGGAGCUUUCUUCUCUGGAUGAGUUGCGAACGGGUGAGUAACACGUAGGUAACCUGCCUGGUAGCUUGGGAUAACUAUUGGAAACGAUAGCUAAUACCGCAUAUUAGUAGAUGUUGCAUGACAUGUGCUUAAAAGGUGCAAUUGUAUCGCUACCAGAUGUACCUGCGUUGCAUUAGCUAGUUGGUGGGGUAACGGCCCACCACGGCGACGAUGCAUAGCCGACCUGAGAGGGUGAGCAGCCACACUGGGAAUGUGACGAGUCACAGACGGCUAAGGGAGGCACCAGAAGGGGAACUGGGGAAAAGGGCGGAAGUCUGACCAGGCAGCGCCGGGGGAGUGGAGAGGGGUUUCGGAUCGUGAAGGUCGGUUGUAAGAGAAGAACGAGUGUGAGAGUGGAAAGUGCACGCUGUGACGGUAGCUGAUAAGGAAGCGACGGCUAACUACGUG
RNAcentral lists this ribosomal RNA (495 nucleotides) under uncultured bacterium. RNAcentral's name for it is "partial 16S ribosomal RNA". It matches the Rfam family "Bacterial small subunit ribosomal RNA", at positions 28 to 507 of the family's 1533-position model. The record is from RNAcentral.